GAUGAAGAACGUAGUGAAAUGCGAUAACUAGUGUGAAUUGCAGAAUUCCGUGAAUCAUCGAGUCUUUGAACGCACAUUGCGCCCCCUGGUAUUCCGGGGGGCAUGCCUGUCCGAGCGUCAUUGCUGCCCAUCAAGCACGGCUUGUGUGUUGGGUCGUCGUCCCCUCUCCGGGGGGGACGGGCCCCAAAGGCAGCGGCGGCACCGCGUCCGAUCCUCGAGCGUAUGGGGCUUUGUCACCCGCUCUGUAGGCCCGGCCGGCGCUUGCCGAACGCAAAUCAAUCUUUUUCCAGGUUGACCUCGGAUCAGGUAGGGAUACCCGCUGAACUUAAGCAUAUCAAUAAGUGGAGGA
RNAcentral lists this unclassified non-coding RNA (349 nucleotides) under soil metagenome. Its description in RNAcentral is "partial contains 5.8S ribosomal RNA, internal transcribed spacer 2, and large subunit ribosomal RNA". The stretch from base 1 to 120 matches the Rfam family "5.8S ribosomal RNA", at positions 35 to 154 of the family's 154-position model. The record is from RNAcentral.